This is a long non-coding RNA of Carcharodon carcharias (great white shark), 584 nucleotides long. RefSeq lists it as uncharacterized. Lineage: Eukaryota; Metazoa; Chordata; Chondrichthyes; Lamniformes; Lamnidae. The record is from RefSeq and is a predicted model, not a curated record. The transcript has 3 exons.
AGGGAUUCUGGGACGGAGGAGGAGGAUGAUGGUCGCACCGUUUGCACCAGAAUAUUUACUGGGUGCAAGGCAGCUGGGAAGAGCUCCCUCUGACUGAGAGGCAAAUUCAAAAAAGUGUGCAGUAAUCUUCACUAAAACUACACCAACAAACAUAACACACAGUAUGUACAAAUACAUAGUAUGAAAAUUCCAAAGGUAUCCAGCUAUUACUAUGACAACACAAACCACAGGACCAGAUCAUCUGAAUAGUCACUGCCAGACCUAGAGAGAACAAGUCCAGCAUUCUCAGAGAAAGGUCUGUCUAAUAGAUCAUCAAAAAUAAAAUCCAUGCACCCUCACCAACUCUAAAAUGUGGUGGUGCUCAGAUCCAAAAGGAAGACAGGCUUCUGUUGAAUUCUGGUAGAUGUAGCCAAGAGUGGUACUGGUUCAUUCGGGGGUUACAGUAUACUACCUGGUUGGAACUCUUCACUUAGGAUGUUUCACAGUUGGCCCAGUGACAGUCUUAAGAACUCUGAGGUGCCUGAAAGAGCUGUAGGCCUUCAACAAAAAUUAUUUAAGAUUUCAAGCACUUAAUAAGCAGCUGU